CCACGCUAAUUUUUACUUAAAUUAAAAAUUUAUAUACCGCCAUCUAAAAAACUAAUUUUAUGAUAAUAUUUUAAAAAAAAAAUAAAAAGUUAGGUCAAGGUGUAAUCAACAUUUAAGUAAAACAUGGGUUACUUUAAAAAUAAUUUAAGGAUCUUUAUAUAAAAAUAUUUUUUCAAAAAGGAUUUAAAAGUAAUAUUAAAAUAAUAUUUUAUUAUGAUUAAGAUAAUAAAUGUGU
Molecule: ribosomal RNA, 235 nt
Filed under: Lycosa tarantula
Lineage: Eukaryota; Metazoa; Arthropoda; Arachnida; Araneae; Lycosidae
Description: partial 12S ribosomal RNA
Source: RNAcentral